RNAcentral lists this ribosomal RNA (253 nucleotides) under uncultured bacterium. RNAcentral's name for it is "partial 16S ribosomal RNA". It matches the Rfam family "Bacterial small subunit ribosomal RNA", at positions 524 to 776 of the family's 1533-position model. The record is from RNAcentral.
UACGGAGGGUGCGAGCGUUGUCCGGAAUCACUGGGCGUAAAGGGCGCGUAGGCGGCAUGCCAAGCGUGUGGUGAAAGCCCGGGGCUCAACCCCGGGUCGGCCGUGCGGACUGGCGUGCUCGAGCACUGUAGGGGCGGGUGGAAUUCCGGGUGUAGCGGUGGAAUGCGUAGAGAUCCGGAAGAACACCGGUGGCGAAGGCGGCCUUCUGGACAGCAACUGACGCUGAGACGCGAAAGCGUGGGGAGCAAACAGG